Long non-coding RNA from Sinocyclocheilus rhinocerous, 740 nucleotides. RefSeq lists it as uncharacterized. The transcript has 6 exons. Lineage: Eukaryota; Metazoa; Chordata; Actinopteri; Cypriniformes; Cyprinidae. The record is from RefSeq and is a predicted model, not a curated record.
UAUUAGCAUACUAUAGUAGCUACUCUUACUAAUUCUGGCAUGUCUUAAUAUGGCAGAAAUAGUAGCAUGCUAUAUACGCCAUUCCAAAUUUAAGCGUAUUGAAGGGAGGGAACGAUUCUUCCACUUAAAAGAUUUGUUCAAAAACACCCUUCACCAUCAACGCCACAAAUGUGAGCUGUUGGUUCAGACGCGCGCAGUUUUGCAUCCGGGACUUUUUUGAGGAUUACACCUGCCGUUAGGCUACAGUGAAAGUAUUGACAUGGGUGCAAAGAGCCAAGACAGCACAUGCCUGAAACAUCACACCUGAUUGUUCUGCAUGGAUCAGUCCGAGAAACUCAAAAGUGGGGCCCUUAUGUGUGUGGAGACAGGAGGCCUCAUCGUUCCUGUAACUGUGCAUAAGUAGCAGAGUGCUGUUCUGCUAAUAGCCCAAAUCAGCGAUGUAACGCGCAGCAUCUCGCUGAUUAUCAAGGCCAGUGUUAAUGCCAGAACAGCAGCUGCUGAGCUCAAACGCACAGACCUGCUACGAAACUCAGACACCUCUCAUGCCAACUGGGAAAUGAAGCCUGUGGACUCCACGCCACUAGAACACCACACUGAGCCAUGUUGAAGUUUCGGAAAGACGUGAGAAUGCUGCAGAACUUGUCACACACAGCUCAUUAAACACUCAAUUAGAUCUUCGCUGCAACACUACACCUGUAAACUGAUCAGUCCUUCAGACCACCCCCUGCUCACUCUGACCA